RNAcentral lists this ribosomal RNA (446 nucleotides) under uncultured bacterium. Its description in RNAcentral is "bacterial SSU rRNA". It matches the Rfam family "Bacterial small subunit ribosomal RNA", at positions 330 to 793 of the family's 1533-position model. The record is from RNAcentral.
UCCAGACUCCUACGGGAGGCAGCAGUGGGGAAUAUUGCACAAUGGGGGAAACCCUGAUGCAGCGACGCCGCGUGAGCGAUGAAGUAUUUCGGUAUGUAAAGCUCUAUCAGCAGGGAAGAAAAUGACGGUACCUGAGUAAGAAGCCCCGGCUAACUACGUGCCAGCAGCCGCGGUAAUACGUAGGGGGCAAGCGUUAUCCGGAUUUACUGGGUGUAAAGGGAGCGUAGACGGCAUGGCAAGUCAGAUGUGAAAGCCCGGGGCUCAACCCCGGGACUGCAUUUGAAACUGUCAGGCUGGAGUGCAGGAGAGGUAAGUGGAAUUCCUAGUGUAGCGGUGAAAUGCGUAGAUAUUAGGAGGAACACCAGUGGCGAAGGCGGCUUACUGGACUGUAACUGACGUUGAGGCUCGAAAGCGUGGGGAGCAAACAGGAUUAGAUACCCUCGUAC